RNAcentral lists this ribosomal RNA (253 nucleotides) under uncultured bacterium. RNAcentral's name for it is "partial 16S ribosomal RNA". It matches the Rfam family "Bacterial small subunit ribosomal RNA", at positions 524 to 776 of the family's 1533-position model. The record is from RNAcentral.
UACGGAGGGGGCUAGCGUUGUUCGGAAUUACUGGGCGUAAAGCGCACGUAGGCGGCUUUGUAAGUUAGAGGUGAAAGCCCAGGGCCUAACCCUGGAAUUGCCUUUAAGACUGCAUCGCUAGAAUCGUGGAGAGGUGAGUGGAAUUCCGAGUGUAGAGGUGAAAUUCGUAGAUAUUCGGAAGAACACCAGUGGCGAAGGCGACUCACUGGACACGUAUUGACGCUGAGGUGCGAAAGCGUGGGGAGCAAACAGG